GAAAAGGAAACUAAGCAUUACUUAGAAUUGUUUUUGAUAUAGACUACGCCCUUCUAACCUUGAUUGAUGUCAGGGUAACACGAAGCAGAAUAAGAUGACUCUCUAUGUUCAAGGCUAGAUAUAAAGUUGCUUGAAAGGCAUUUAAGAUGGCACCUUUUCUACAGAAGAUGGAACAAACUUGACAAUUUUGUCCUCCUAAUGGCAAUCUAU
RNAcentral lists this long non-coding RNA (210 nucleotides) under Nicotiana benthamiana. Its description in RNAcentral is "long non-coding RNA (NBEN_LNC002499)". Lineage: Eukaryota; Viridiplantae; Streptophyta; Magnoliopsida; Solanales; Solanaceae. The record is from RNAcentral.